Molecule: transfer RNA, 75 nt
Filed under: Acidimicrobiales bacterium
Lineage: Bacteria; Bacillati; Actinomycetota; Acidimicrobiia; Acidimicrobiales
Description: tRNA-Arg
Rfam family: tRNA
About the family: Transfer RNA (tRNA) molecules are approximately 80 nucleotides in length. Their secondary structure includes four short double-helical elements and three loops (D, anti-codon, and T loops).
Source: RNAcentral
GCCUCCGUAGCUCAGCUGGAUAGAGCAACGGACUUCUAAUCCGUAGGUCGCAGGUUCGACUCCUGCCGGGGGCGC